GGAUUGCUCAGUCGGUUAGAGCGUGGUGCUGAUAAUGCCAAGGUUCUGAGUUCGAUCCCCGUCUGAAACA
Molecule: non-coding RNA, 70 nt
Organism: Podarcis lilfordi (Lilford's wall lizard)
Lineage: Eukaryota; Metazoa; Chordata; Lepidosauria; Squamata; Lacertidae
Source: the annotation of a GenBank genome assembly